This 75-nucleotide ribozyme is filed under the name Crocodylus porosus (Australian saltwater crocodile). Its description in RNAcentral is "Mammalian CPEB3 ribozyme (ENSCPRG00005000101.1)". It matches the Rfam family "Mammalian CPEB3 ribozyme". Rfam says of the family: The mammalian CPEB3 ribozyme is a self cleaving RNA located in the second intron of the CPEB3 gene which belongs to a family of genes regulating messenger RNA polyadenylation. This ribozyme is highly conserved and found only in mammals. Lineage: Eukaryota; Metazoa; Chordata; Crocodylia; Crocodylidae. The record is from RNAcentral.
AAUUGCCAUAAAGCCCAUAGCAGAAGCGCUCAUGUUGCAGCCCUGUCAGAUUCUCAAGAAUCUGCAAAUUCUGCU